Molecule: long non-coding RNA, 18949 nt
Filed under: Podarcis lilfordi (Lilford's wall lizard)
Lineage: Eukaryota; Metazoa; Chordata; Lepidosauria; Squamata; Lacertidae
Source: RNAcentral
GGGGCUGGUGGUGUUCUUAGUCCUAAGGUUGCCCCUGGAUCUCCUCCACUCCACAUAAGGAAUAGAUUUCAAAAGCUAUUAAUGCAACAUAGAUGUGCGGUUUGAAUGCCUUAGAUCAGCAUUAGCUCUAGUCUAGUCUGUUAAUCAAUAAAUGAAAACAUUGUGGUUGCUAGAGAAUGCUCCGUGUAAGCUUGAUCAAAUUCUUCUAAACCAAACAAAGCCAAAGCUUUACAUCUUAAAAAUGGAACAUUUUAAAUAUAAGCAGGGGAUUCUGUGGAGGUCCUGCCAAUUGUUUCUUUUCAGGGCUUUGCAUUAUAAAACCCUACCUGUCCUUGCAUAUAAAGUUUGUUUAAGUUGGCGUGAGGAUGUGGCCAUUUCCACUAACACCCCCCUCCUCUUCCACCCCCCCCCCAACUGCACGCUCUCUUCUCAAUAUGGGACCUAAGGCCUGCUAGCCUUGUUUUGCUUGUUUUUUACUGUGGCAUGCAUUUUUGUGUUAUUAUAUUGUAAACCACCCUUCGGAUGAAAUGAGGUAUAGAAAUUUAUUUAAUAAUAAUAAGAUGCAGAGACAGAGUCCAUUUGGGACUCCUUUCUAGCUGUACUGCUCUACGCAGCUACCUCAGUUAUGUAGGUGCUGAAAACAGUGGCACCAGACUAUAGAAAUUCUGUGUUUUACCCUGACUUCUAGCAUCCUGGUAUAGAUGAGGUAUUCAGUGACUGAACCUUGCCAAAUUUUUCCUUCUUUCCACCCAUUAGCCCAUUAGCUACCCUAGCAGGGUUGGUUUCGCAACUGCUCGACAAGGGAUGUCACUAGAUAGACCAAUGACAGAAGCUCACUUCAUGCACAAAAUGAAAAUGUGGAUACUAAACUACCAUAUGGUGUACAUUUAGCCCCCCCACCAGGCUCACAUGGCUUCUCCCGGCCACUCAAGUGUUGAGGGAUAACCUCUGAAGUUGGGGGCCUUUUCUAUUUCUAUAGACUCUCUGUGCAAUCAUAGAAUUGUAGAAAUCUUUCAGGAUUCCAAAUGGUGCAGGGAGCCCCUUUGAAGAGAAAAGGCUCACUGCUUCAGAAGUUAUCCUUCAACAUGCAAGAGGCCAGGGGGGACGGGACGGGACAUGACCUCACAGUCGCCCCUCCAGACCUUUAGGAUCUGUAUUGUACACUUGCAUGUGAAAGGGGCCUCUGUUAUUAGUCUGCAUGGUUAUGGUCCCUGUGCGAAGAAGGCGAGAGGGCAAUUCGACACUUGUUUCAAUCAUUCAGUCAGCCCUCAGCAUCAGUGUGGCAGUCACAGUGAUGGAGAUCAACACAGUCCCCACCACCACAAUUUCUGUGUGGUUUUCUGAAAGCAUUAUAAAGUAAACUAGAUUUGUCAUAACAAGCUUUCCCCUGUCAAACAGCACAUUUUCUCAGAGCUAAACUAUGUGGACAGCAUCGUAUACAGAUAAAAGGGAUUUUUUUUAUGUUAUGUGUGUGUGUUUUAAAUUAACACUCCACUUCAACCCAGUUGAAUUGGCAGGAUUGGGGGGCAGAUUAACAGAAAGGCCCCCCGAAGCACAGCAUAGCUAGUGUACCACAUUUUUAAAUGAAAUAAGUAAUAGUAUUUCCAUCCAAGAGCGUCUCCAUCACCUGAAGAACAGGACGUCCAGAGCCCAAAGAGUCAAAAUAAGCCCUAUUGGGCUCUCACAGGAAUUGAAAUUGAAAUACUUUAUUGUCACUUGUACAACUUGUGUAAAGAGAGAUUAGACGAGCACCCCCCACUCAGCUCUCUUAGCCUUAAUUCCCCUCGUUUACUGACGCACACCCACCAAACCCAAAAGUCAAUUGCCCUGUUGUUAUCUUUUCAUUCAGCAGCCUAACAGCCCACGGAUAGAAGCUGUUCUUUACCCUGUUGGUGCGACUAAUCAUGCUUCUAUAUCUUCUGCCCGAGGGCAGGAGAUCAAGAAAGUGCAGGCCAGGGUGCGAAUCAUCCCUGAGAAUUUUCCUCAUCUCCUGAGGCAACGUUCUUCCGCUAUUUCAUCCAGCAGAUUCACGGGACAGCCCAUAAUAUCUUGUGCUGUAUUCACCACUCUCUGUAGGCACUUCCUAUCAGUUGAUGUCAAACCAGCGCACCACACCGUGAUGCAGUAUGAAAGAACAAUUUCUAUUGUAGACCGGUAGAAGGAGAUCAUCAAAUGUUGAUUGACAUCGUUCUUUCGCAAUACUCUGAGGAGAUGGAGUCUCUGUUGGGCUUUCUUAACCACCUGAGUUGUAUUUAUUUUCCAAGUAAGGUCUUCACGGAGAUAAACUCCUAGGAAUUUAAAGGAAGAGACUCUUCACAAUGAAUUCACAAUGAACAUAUAAGUGACAGAAGAAAACCCAAAUGCUGUCAACCUCAAAGAAUAAAACAAACAAAACAAACCCCACCAGCCUCAUAUACCUUAGAACUAGGGAUAGGGAAGAAAUUUUAUUCCGCUUGCAUCUGAAUGUGAACCCCAUCUAAUUUGCAACCUGCGAACCAAACCACAGCCCCCCUUUGAAAUUUGUUCUUCUCUGAAUUUUGCAAUGCCACCCACCAGCCAGCUAACAGGUACAAAAAUGUGCAUACUAGGGUAAAGCGUGCAUAGAAAUGAGUACUGAAGGGAAAAUAACAUACACAAAUGCAUUUUAUUAGGGGACACUGUUUUGUAACACCCCCCCAAAAAAACCCUGUACAUUAGGCAUAAGAGUAUAUGAAAAUGUGUGUGUGAGGGGAAAUUGGCACUAAAAUACUGGUGAAUUUUCAUGAGGGGUUAAUUUUAUUUUGCAAACGGAUGUGGAGAACUGAACUUAAUAUUGGAAACAUUAGAAACUGAAAUUCUUAGAAUCAUAGAAUUGUAGAAUUGGAAGGGACCUCAAGGGCUGUUCAGACCAACCUCCUGCUAUGCAGGAAAGUCAAGUAAAGCAUCCAUGACAGAUGACCACCCAACCUCUGCUUAGAUACUUCCAAGGAAGGAGAGUCCACCACCUCUUGUGGGAAUCUGUCCCACUGUCAAACAUCUCUUACUGUCAGAAAGUUCUUCCUGAUGUUUAGUCAGAAUCUCCUUUCUUAUAACCCGUCCACUUCAAAGCACUGUGAUACCAGGAUGGUAAUGCAAAUUAAAACAAACCAAUACGAUUAUAAACAGAAAAAUACAGGGAGCAGAUAAAAAUUGCAGCAAGAGCAUCAAUGGUAAUAAUAAAUCAGAAUCCAGCCACUUGUGUCAUUAGACAGGCCCUUGUCAUUUGCCUACAACCACCCAUCACACAAAUCUUUGUGAUUUGCUAUUCUUCUUCCUUUUUUGCUUUCAGCUUCUGAUUCUUUCCUUUCCAUGAUGAUGUUUAUUCUGCAGCUCCUCUAAGCAGAUCUCCACCCCCCCCCUUUUUUUGCCUUGGCAUUUGCCAUAUCCAUCUGUGGCUGGCAAGCCUUUAUUGAAUAUUUUAAUUUCCAUUCCGCCCUCCCCACCUUUCCCCUCUAAUCCCAGCAUGCUUAACUGAUUACAGCUAGGAUUCUCGCUGCUUCUAAGAUUUUUGUUUGGCAUAAGGUGUAGCAGAGCAGAACUGACUUCCUGGCAUGGUUUCACAUGCUGCCUAUCGGCUGGCUCUCAUAUCUGUAGGCUCCCUGUUAAUGAAUCUGAAUAGCUUCCUAUGCCAGUAGACACGCUUAUUAAAACUGAGAUUACUUAGAGGUGAUUUGCCAAAGGGACAGAGGGAUUUAAUCCCUCUCACACACCCCUCCCCAUCAGGUUAUAUUUUAAAGCAGGCCUGGAUGAAUUGUGACCCAGCAAAUUUAACACAGCCCACCGGGUAUAUAUGAUUGCAGCUUGCCAAGAGUAUUUAACAGCCAUCCUGGUUUUACUGUCCCAGAACUGGAGGCAGGAAGGCAGCCAAAAUUGGAGGGCCAUUGAACCCAGACCUACCAGUGGGUUUGGGAGGCAUUUCCUCCACCCCCCCCUUUGACUAAAUUGAAAUCUGAAGCGUUUUUUUCCUGGGGCAGGGGGGGUGUUUUCCUGGGGCAGGGGGGUGAAAUGUGAGAAUUUCAAAGGAAGCACACAGAAUUUUUUUGUCCACUGAGUGUGAACUUGCAAUUGAAAUGGACUUUGCGGAGACAAUUCAUGAUUUUUCGGGGGGGGGGGGGAGCCAGAAAAAUAAAGUUUUAAAGCUCUAUUUUAUUUUAUUUAGAAAUGUUUGCAGCUGUGUUGAUCCAUUAUAAUGAGAAGAAUCAAAACACUGACAGAUGAGGACCGACCGUAAAGUUGUAAAAUAGUCAGCAAGCUUUAAACAAAAGUAGCCAAAAGCAGUGUGGUAGAAAAGCCACCGUGUGGACCUUGGUGUAAUUUUAGAAAUGAAAUUUUAGAAUUAAAAUAGAAACUUUCCUUUCAUAACUUGUGUUAGCAUAUGUAAGGGACAGAAUCAUGGCAUGCUUGUUGGAGGGGGAACAUGUUACCAGUUUGUACUCCAUGUGGCCCCCCCCCAUGCAAAAAAAAAAAAAAAAGGAUACUUGGGGCCUGCAUCAUUUACCGUAUUUUUUGCUCUAUAAGAUGUACUUUUUCCCUCCUAAAAAGUAAGGGAAAAUGUGUGUGCAUCUUAUGCUGUUCUGGCUUCAGGGAUAGCUGCGCAAAGCCUCUUCAACAACAUUUGAUUCAGAAUAUUUUUCUUCUUCUUUUCCUCCUCUAAAAACUAGGUGCAUCUUAUGGUCUGGUACGUCUUGCAGAGCGAAAAAUACGGUAGGUCUUGCUAGACCCACAACAUAGCUGGGUUGUGCUUGGCUUGGUGGGUUGGGUGUUGUGCAAGCAUAUAUUUUUUAUAAUCCUUUUAUUUCAAAGCCUGUUUUCACGACUCUCACAAUGGCUUCAGCAGCCUACUUACGGCAGUUGAUAGUCGCCUAUUGUGGUUCUGGUGGUAGAUGGAUGCAUGCCUGGUGGUUCACUGGAAUCAAUGCCCAUGAGGUAAAUUCUGGUCCGAACCUGAGUCCAUUACUGAUUGCCAAAUGCUAAGCUUGCUCCAUAAUUGUUAUGGGAGACAUAAAACCCUAAAUCAGAUGAGCAGAAAGUUGUGAAAGAUACAUUGGACAUGAUAAUAUUUGGCUUAAUCUUAUGUUUUUGCUAAAGGGAAGGGAGUGACGUUUUCAAGGCUCCAAUUAUAAGGAAAACUACUUGGAACUAAAUGAGAUUUACAUCUGAGUGAGCCUGAUUAAGAUCACCCUACAGUAGUUUUAAACAAAUUUUCUGUAUUUGCCAGCAUGUUUUAUGAUAUAGUGUUGCUGCCUUUGUAAUCUGCCCUAUGGCAAUAGCGUAAGACAGUGGGAUAUCCUAUGAAACAUAGAACUGGGGUUAAUAGCUGCUUAGCCUUAAACACAUUUGGUAGGGCUUUUGUUUUGUUUUUAGGUAACAAGCCUCGUCCCCCAACCUUGUCUAUCCAUUUCUUAUGUGUAAAACAGGAACUGUCACGAUAUCGCUCACUGGAUUUUUGUUGGGAUGUGAACUGGGUAAGGGACAGAGCAAACCUUAUACUCUGAAAGUGUGUAUGGAAAUUGUUUUGAUUAAUUGUAGCAUGACUGCUAAGUAAAUGUGUUUUUGACACGGUCAAAAUUAGACCCAGAUUGGCAGAAAAUGAGGGUUCUGUUCUGUGCAUGUUCUCAUGUGGAAAACACAUGUCCGCUGGGUGGUACAUAGCUGAGGGCAUGUUCUUCAAAUUCUAGUACAGGGGAUCACCAACAUCUUCCCAUCUCCCACUCUCAGUCUUGUCAGAUGUGGUACUUACAAGGACAUAGUUUUGUCAGAUUAUUAUUAUUAAAAUGUGUAUACCACCUCCCAUCCAUAGAUCUCACAGCAGUUCAUAACAUAAAUUUACAACAUGCUAUUCAAUAGACUGAGUGGAAUGGUCUUCCGCCCCCAUACCAGACUGAUCUAGCCAAUUCCAAACCUUAGGGUCAUGGAGGGUGAUGGACCUGAGUUCAAAUCCCAGAUCAGUCCUGCCUCCUCUCCUCUGUCCUUAAAAUGGAAAUUGCAAGUAUUAGCCCCAUAGGGACAAGUGACAGAUACGGAGCAAAACACUCUGAGCACAGAAAGGUUUUCAAACGGUAUGUAACUUAACUCAAACAGUACACAGCCUCACAGCCCAUUGCUGAACUUUGUGGAUAACUUUCUUGGGAAUGAAAAAUCCAAAGCCAGAUGCCUAGUGGUACCAUGGCAGACUCUAAUAGUUUCAGGCCAGAGUGGGGAAACACUUCUUACUCACAUAAACUGAGAUGUCACCGCAGCGGGACCACUAUAGUGACUUAGGGUGAAGUUGAGAGGCGGGGUAGGGUGGGGGUGCCAAAUUUUGGCGUUGCACAGGGCGCCACUGAAAUUUGAAAAGCCCAAAGUCUACUGCUGCUCCAACAACAGCACACCGAAUGAAGUUGUUUUGCCAGUCUGGGAUCCACACACAAAGAGCUUUCCUAACUGCUCCAAGCCUUAGUAACAAAGAGUUGCUGUUCAGAAAGACAUGGCCCGACCGCAGUUCUAGAGAGCCAGUGUGGUGUAGUGGUUAAGAGCGGUAGACUUGUAAUCUGGUGAAGCGGGUUCGCUUCCCCGCUCCUCCACAUGCAGCUGCUGGGUGACCUUGGGCCAGUCACACUUCUCUGAAGUCCCUCAGCCCCACUCACCUCACAGAGUGUUUGUUGUGGGGGAGGAAGGGAAAGGAGAAUGUUAGCCGCUUUGAGACUCCUUAGGGUAGUGAUAAAGUGGGAUAUCAAAUCCAAACUCUUUUCUUCUUCUUCUUCUUCUUCUUCUUCUUCUACACAAAAGUGUCUUAAAUCACAACCCUAAACCAAUGUAUGUGCAGAACUGCAGCUUAUGUAUUGCAGUGGACCAUUUAUUCCGUGCAGCACACCUUAGUGUUUUCUUCUGCACCUCCAUUCUUUGCUGUAUCCCCAGUUUAGAAACUCUUUCCACAUGGAAUCAGUUGCCAAAGAGCGCAAGAGACCCAGUUAGGGAGGAAGAGGGUGUCUUUCUACAGCUCUGUGCACCGCGUAGGAAACAUUGCAGUGAAGGGAUUAGGAGGCUAUUUUCAGGCUAGCAUUCUUUGCUGUCUUGGCCAUGAGGCAGAAAUCUGUGCAGAAGUGGUUGCAUAAACACGCUAAAUUAACAAACAGAAGGAGCAUAUUCCGGAAGAGAUUAAUUCCAGCUACCCUUUUUUCCCCUAUAGAGCAAGUUGCCAUUUUCAUCAAACAAGAGAAGCGAGGCGGCAGUGAAAACAGCAGGUGGGUGGGGGGGAGGGAGAGGGAGAACAUGCAAGGAGCUUGGAGGCAAGUGUAGGAAAUUAUACAGCACAACUCACUGCUCUGAUUCAUUGGAACUCUCCAAAAAAGCUGAGUGUGCAGGCUGAGAGUCAGCAUAAGCAACGUGCACCUCCUCUGAGGUGUCAGUGGGACAGGGGAGUCUGCCAUGUCUGUGCCACACACCAAAAGCAGUGUGAAAUAUGGUAUUAGGUGAGCUCCCCAUUGCUCAUCUCAAAAACUAUUUGGGUUUUAAAAAAGAAAGAACCAGCUUUCCUUCUGCCUCCCCACAGCUGUAGAGCAGCCAAGGGCACGCACAGUCCAUAUGGGCACUGCUCGUGCAGUGUCCGUUCAGGCUGCCACUUGCGUGUGCCGUCCGUACAGGCGACCGUACGGGCUGCCUCUCGCACGGCGACCAUACGGGAUGCCGUGCAUGCGCAGUCCAUACGGGAUGCCACACAUGCACAGUCUGUACGGGAUGCUGUUCGUGCGGCAGCCUGUACGGUCACCGUGCAAGCGGCAGCCCGUAUGGCCGCUGCAUGCGAGCGGCAUCCCGUAUGGACUGCACAUGUGCAGCAUCCCGUAUGGUCGCCGUACAUGCGCAGGCCGUAUGGGAUCCCACUUGCACGGCAUCUGUACGGGCUGCCGCACAUGCGCACUCCAUACGGGCUGCCCCGCCCCGGGUGCUGGAGAGGGUUCCUCCGCCACUGGAACUAUUAGAGGUGUGUGGUGGGGAGUGAGCAAUUCGUUUCUGUGCUUUCUACAAGAAAGUUUGGAAAAUAAACAAGGGAGCUCCUUCCCUGCCAGCCCGCCUGAGCUCUUUCCAAGAAAAAGCCGGAGAAACCGCCCCCUUCCUUUGAGAAGUGGGAAAGAAUACUCAGCAAUCAUCACUAGAGCAGGGAUGGGAAACCCACGGGCCUCCAGGUUAGCAAUGGGGGAGAGAUUCAUUUCAGUGUGCGUCUAAAGGCAAACCUACCUAAUUCAAACUUUCUGAAACAACACAAGAACCAACGCACAGCCAUCCUUCAGCGGUAGAACAUCUGCCUUGCAAGUAUAAGGUCUGGAGUUCAAAUCCCGGCAUCUCCAGCUAGGCUAGGAGAGACUCCUGCCUGAAACCUGGAGAGCUGCUGCCAGUCAGUGUGGACAACACUCAGCUAGAUGGACCAAUAUUCUGACCAAGUAUAAGGCAGCUUCCCAUGUUCCUAAUGUGAACAUUUCUGAAUUUCACAGCGUUUAAUAGCAAUGGGAAGCCAGUGAGGUAGCUGAGCCCAAAAGCAGAGUCAUGUCUCCUUUCCCACCAUCUUAUAGAGCAGAAGCAUCAAUACAAUUCAUUGAACAACAACUGCAGGGCUAGGAUUGCUAUAUAAGGCAGAUGUUUGGUUUGUGGUAUCUGUAUCAUGGAAGCAUCACAGUCGGUCAAUACAGUGGUACCUCAGGUUACAUAUGCUUCAGGUUACAUACGCUUCAGGUUACAGACUCCGCUAACCCAGAAAUAUUACCUCAGGUUAAGAACUUUGCUUCAGGAUGAGAACAGAAAUCGUGCUCCGACGGCGCGGCAGCAGCAGGAGGCCCCAUUAGCUAAAGUGGUGCUUCAGGUUAAGAACAGUUUCAGAUUAAGAACGGACCUCCUGAACGAAUUAAGUACGUAACCAGAGGUACCACUGUACAUAUCUUGUGAGCAUAUGUUUUGUUUGUAUACAAGGCUUUCUUCCCCAUCUAACAUGGAUCCAUAUAACGUCCUAGUUAUAUGAACAAAUAUCAGAGUGUUUUGUUCUUGCUGUGGUUUUUUUACUGUUCUACAUCGCUACUUAUUUACUUGGACAUAAAUCCCACGGAUUUCAAUGGAAGUCCCUUUCAUCUAAGGGUGCUGAAGAUCACAGCUUCAAGUGUUUUUUAAUAGAAAUCACCAGAGGAUGUUUUAAUGAGAGAAGUGACAGAGAACACCAGCCUCAAAUCUUUUGACAAUAGGCCACCCGAUUCUUUCAUCCCAGGAUGUCUACAAUGAGAUGAGACAAAGGCAAUAAAAAGAAGGGAGCUCAAUGAGGCUGAAGAGACAUGAAACUGCAGCCUUGUCAUCAGCUGCUGAAGAAACAGAACAACAUGCUAAUACAAUUAUCUUCUCCAGAAUAAAGUAACUUUUUGCACAUCAAUGUGAGAAGGGGGAAAAAUCACAAGAAAGUGACAAUGCGCUAACACUACUCUGGUGGUGGUGGGGAAAUCAAGGGCAGAGAUAAUUACGAGAGGAGGAAAGAACUUCACGUUUAUGUUUCUAUUAAACUAGAAGUGCUUCAUUGUGUGUGAGGAUUAUUAAGUAAACAGGAGGAGAUCAGUUUAUUCCCUCAUCCCUGGUGGUCCUCAGUCCAGUCAGAGAUGAACAAUGGGGGAACCAGGGAUAGCCAAGGAUCCUGAACUUUGUGAAUUCCAGUGAGAACCUUUCAGGCUAAGGUGCAAAACUAAUGUCGUAGCAAUCCUACUCCGAAUUAAGCCUCACUGACUUCAUAGGGGUUCACUUCCAGGUAAGCGGGGUUAGAAUUAUAGCCUUUGUUAUUCACCAGUUUUUGCACUUAUUGAACCUGACCAAAGAACUCAGUUAUGUGGCAUCUAUACAAUGAAUACAUUCAUAAAUAAAAAAAUGAUCUGCCACAGGUCUUGGAUCAAAAAUGCAAAGGCUGACCUCAGGCAAAGCCUUGGUGGUGGUGCCGUCGCUGACCUGUGGCAGGGCCUUUUCAGUGAUGGUUCUCCAGUUGGGGAAUGCCCUCCCUAGAGAAGUGUGCCUGUCUCCAUCAUUAUUAACUUUCAGGAAGAAUUUGAAAGCAUCCCUGCAAAUCCAGGCAUUUGGUGCUUGAAGCACGCUGCUCCUGGCAACCUUAAAAUCAAUUUUUAAAAUUGUAAUUGCCUUUAGAAUGUUUUUAACUGUAACUGCUUUUAGAUGCUUUCAAUUGUAAUUGCUUUUAGCAUUUUUUUUAACACAUUGCUUUGUUUUUAAAUUGUAUAUCUGCUUGCCACCCUGAGCUCCUAGGGAGGAAGGGAAGGAUAUAAAAUAAAAAAAUAACAACCACAACCACAAAUAAUAUCCUGAGAGAAAAGAUGUUCAGAAAUGUGUGUUUAAAUACAUAUUUAAAUGUGAAUUACCGUGGACGGUAUUCAGUGACAUAUCUGUGCUGGAAGAAGAAGAAGAAGAAGAAGAAGAAGAGGAGGAGGAGUUUGGACUUGAUAUCCCACCUUUCACUCCCCUUAAGGAGUCUCAAAGUGGCUAACAAUCUCCUUUCCCUUCCUCCCCCACAAUAAACACUCUGUGAGGUGAGUGAGGCUGAGAGACUUCAGAGAAGUGUGACUGGCCCAAGGUCACCCUGCAGCUGCAUGUGGAGGAGCGGGGAUGCGAACCCGGUUCACCAGAUUACGAGUCCACUGCUCUUAACCACCACACCAUGCUAGCAUAAAGAUGAGUGUAAGCUCACUGGGAUUCCCUCCUCUCUCCUUCCCCAUCCUGUUACCAAAUCUACUGUUGAGUGUUGGGGGAAGCCCAGAACAGAUUUGGGGAAUGCUUGUGGGGAGGCGAGAGGGAGAAGAUUCUGCUGCACGAGGAGAAAUCCUUGCACUGAUGGGACAUGCUUCGUUGAACGCAACCCCAAAUGGUUUGUUUCAACAACAACAGCAACAGAUCAGUGCAUGAAUGGGAAUGGUGCAGCGAUAAAACCGCUAGCACAUUUGCAAAGCUAAGUAUAGUUUCAAAUUGGAUGAGGGACUGCGUGUUGAGAUUCCUGCAUUGCAGGGGGUUGGACUAGAUGACUCUCACGGUCCCUUCCAACCUCUAUUAGUCUAAUGAUUCUAUGAACUGCUGUAUAUGCAAAAGUGACAAAGACCGGAAAUUAGCUGAUUCACCUGUCUCUGGGUGGAACAUUGGAAGACAUUGCAGAAAACCGUCUGCCACUCCUGUUCUAUUUCUGGAGCCAGGAAGUAGCUGAAGCCAAAUAUACAUUUAAAUAUGCAUGUUUUGUCCCACAGGGAUCAUGAGACUGAAACAUAACAUAAAUGUUGUGCAUUAUGCCUAUAAGUUUAAAGACAUGCAAAUAGAGGAGUGCAAGUUGGGAGUUUGCUUGAAGGAAAGCUAGGUGCGUUGAGCCGUAACUCUUUGCAGAUAAUUUCUGGAUGAGGCAAUAUCUGCAAUAAAAACAUAUGCAAAAUACAGUGCAAUUCCAAAACCUACCAAAACAGGUUGGUCCCCCUGCCCUCCACCCAUAUAGAUGACUUCAACUUAAUGCAGGGAUGGAGAGAACCUGUGGCUCUGAAGAUAUUGUUGGACUCCAACAUCCAUCAGCCCCAGGAGAAAUGGCCAAUAGUCAGGAGAUGAUGGGAGUUGCAGUCCAACAACACCUGCAGGCCAGGGUUACCCAAUUCCUGGUCCAAUGGUUACCCAGCACAUGAGUACUCACUGUUGGUUUCUGCUUUCCUUCACUGUGCAGCUUUGCUUGUCACGAGAAAGGUGUUUACAUUCCACAGUCUGUACUGUUGGAGUUUCUCACGGGAAAGGGAGACUGGAUGUGACGUACACUGGUUUCCUGUUUUUCACUGUGUGAUUCUCUCCGAGCUGUCGAGGAGAGAGGAUGCAUUUCUCUGCUCCUGCAGAGGCAAGAUGUCUUUCUGUAAUAUACCAGCUUUGAACUGUAAAUAAAGCAAUAUAGAGUAUGUAGCACGUAUUGCUCAUCCUUCCGCUGGGCACGACAGACUCUGCUUAAAUCAACACGUGGUUAUGGACUCCAGAGGUCGAAUCGGAGUGCCGGCAAAGGAUCGGAAUGCAGAGGGACGGAUCGGAAAGGAAUCUGCUCUGCGCGUAGAAGUGAUUGAUGAGGUAUGUGCUACUGCUCCGGGCAGCCUGCCAGCUUCAAGUUAAUGGCUUUAUGGCUGGACUUUGAACUUUUAAAGCCGGUUUUGCCGGGAAUAGGCAAAAGGCUCCCAGGCACAAGUCACUAUGCUGGGGAAUCGAAAGUAACUUUUAAGUGUGCUUUUGGAUAAGGCAGCUGCAGCAGUGACGCAGCAAGAUUUAAAGCAGCAUAUGACGCUGAAGGCUAAUGCCAGAGUCAUGAUGGCCCUUCAGGAUGCUUGUGGGAUUCCUAAGCUCAACAAGAAAAAUUACAGCGACUGGGUUCAGUAUGCAGAGGCAAUUCUGCGGAAAGAGGGUUUGUUUGAAGUGAUUACAGAAACCCCCCCAGUUCCAGUUACAGAUGCAUGGGAAGCUAAGGAUUCCAAAGCAAGGGGAACUCUUACAUUGAUAGUAUCCCCAGAAGAGCUCUGUCUGUUGCGUGAUAAGACCUCAGCCAGAGAAAUUUGGGACGCUCUGAGAGAGGCUCACUUAAGGACAGAAGCUGGAUCCACUAUGUUUUAUUUUAACAAGCUGCAUAAUAUGGCUCUUGCUGAAGGUGGAGAUGUGCGUUUACAUCUAAUGGAGAUGCAAAAUCUGAGACAUGAGCUGCAACAGAGAGGACUCAACUUUCCAGAGGCUGUGUAUUCUUUCAUGAUACUACAAUCUUUGGGUUCAGGUUGGGAGUCUGUUGCAACCCAGAUUGCUGUGCAACCAACUGCUCAGCUGACAGUGGACUUUGUUACUGCCGUGAUUUUAAAUGAAGCAGAUCGCCGGGGUGCUAGCUGCAUGGGCAAGGGAGUCUUCACAGACGUCAUCCCAUAGUGCAGUGGAACCACCAGAUGGCGCCAAAGCUUUGAAGGCAGUGAAAUGCUACCCGUGUGGACGUCUAGGCCAUAUGAAGAGGGAAUGCAGACAUCCCAGGGCCAAGACAGAGCAGCGCAGCGAAAGCUCAUCGCGCGGAAAAGGCCGAGGCAAAGGCAAAGGUCCGGUGUCUAGGACAACGCAGCACAAGGCUAUGGUUUCACGCUUCACUCCAAAGGUUGCAGAGGUCCAGAAGACGUCUAGAUCUUUCUUCGUUGUUGAUUCAGCGGCCACCCACCACAUGUGCAACGAUAAGAAACUGUUUGUGUCUUUUACACCGCAGGAAGGUGCGAUUCACCAGGCGGAUGACCACACUAUUCCCAGUAAAGGCUACGGAACUGUUGUUCUUCACAGUUUGGACUUAUCGAUACAGAAUGUGCUUUACGUGCCAGACGCCAAACAUAAUCUGCUCAGCGUUGGACAGCUGAAUGAGCGGAACAUUGACGUUUCCUUCAAGAACAAGAAGUGCAUCAUCACAAAGAAAAAUGAUUAUGUAUUGCAUGCAGAAUAUGUUGAUCGUUUGUUUGUUUUGUAUUAUGAUGAUGUGGUGCAGGAUGACACUUGUUGCAUUGCAGGUUCUAACAAAAGUUUGCAUGCAGAAUGUAUUCACGAUUUUCAUCGAAAAUUUGGUCAUUUGCAUUUUGAGGCAGUAUCUAAAAUGCCUGCCUUGGUUGAAGGUAUGACUAUUAAACCCUGCAGGUACCACAUGAAGUGCAAAGCAUGCGCAGCAAACAAAGUGAAAAUGGCUGCGAAAGGUAAGGUGUCUAGUAGGAAAGCUACAGAACCAUACCAGGUUGUUCAUGCUGAUCUGGUUGGACCACUAGCGCCCUCUUUGGGUGGAAAUAGAUACUUCAUGGUUCUCAUUGAUGCAUUUUCUAGAUAUAUUUAUGUGUACAAUCUCAAGCAGAAAUCGGAGGCUUUUCCUAGGUUCAAGGAAUUCUGUGCUUGGUUGGAAAAUGUGCAUGGUAAGAAGAUAAAGACUCUUUUCAGUGAUCGCGGGGGGGAAUUCACUUCUCAGCAGUUUGAAGCUUUUCUGACUGAGAAAGGAAUUCAACACGAUUUGUCUAGUCCUCGCUCGCCAUGGCAGAAUGGACUUGCGGAACGGGCAAAUCAGACUUUGCUUCAAGGGUUAAAAACCUUGCUGCAUGAUGCCAAUCUUCCAGAGAGUUAUUGGGCCGAAUCUCUCUCGUGUUUUGUUUACAGUUACAAUCGCAGGUUAUCUUCAGCGAUUGGUUGUACCUCUAUGAGAAGAUGUUUGGCAAGAAGCCAUACAUCAAACACAUGAAGAUUUUUGGUUCUGACAUGUGGGUUCGCUCACCACAAAACUCCAAGUUAGACAAGCGUGGAUUGCAUGGUAUCUUUCUAGGUUAUCAGAAAGGGUCUUACAGAAUAAUGAUGACUGACUCUAAGACAAUUAAGCUCACGAGAAGUGUUGAGUACAAUGCAAAGUGGGGGAGAAUGUGGGAAUUUUCCAAUGUUAUCCUGAUGACGGUGAUGAGACUGAGGAUAGUCAAAAGCAACCACAACAGCCCACACCCACUGAUGAAGGUUCUGAGUCUGAAUCUGAAACUGAAUCGGGUGAUUCAGAGGCUUUCGAAGUGCGAAAGCCUCUAUGCGACCCUCUGAAAGCUCUGAUCAAGAAUUAGAGGAACCAUUGUUCACAAUAGGUCGUUUUUCUCCUAAGAAGGAAGAGGAGAGUGUUGAAGACUUAAGGCUAAUUCGUAGGUCACAGAGAGCCACAAAAGGCAAACCUCCAAAGAGAUUUGCUGAUGAGUUUGCUAAGAUAGCAGUAACAACUGUUAAAAGCUCCAAGAAGGUAUUUGAACCUUCAAAUUUCCAAGAAAUCCAGGGUUUGGAUUCAAAGGAAGCUGAGCCAUGGUUAAAUGCCAUGAAGGCUGAGCUUGAUUCCUUAGAAAGGAACAAAACAUGGGAGCUAGUUCCAGUAGUUCCAGGAAUGAAACUGCUUGGAAGCAAAUGGGUCUUCAAAGCGAAGACAGAUCAAAAUGGCAAGAUAGUCAGACACAAAGCCAGAUUGGUAGCCAGAGGUUUUGCACAGGUACCAGGUGAAGACUAUCACGAGACCUAUUCACCCACAGUGAGAUAUGAAAGCAUUAGGCUUAUGCUCAAGCUAGCUGCAGAGGAAAAUCUACACAUUAGUCACCAUGAUAUUAAUACAGCUUUUCUGUACGGAUCUCUAGAUGAAUCACUUUAUAUGCUUCCACCUGAUGGCGUACAGGUAAAACAGGGAUUUGUUUGUGCUCUGAAGAAAUCCCUUUAUGGUCUCAAACAAAGUGCACGGUGUUGGCACACAAAACUCACUGAAGUAUUGUUUUCUCUAGGUUUUCAGCAAGGGAAGCUGAUCCAUGUGUAUUUGUCAAAGAGGAGGGGCAAAAGAAACUGUACUGUUUGUUUUAUGUUGAUGAUUUAUUAUUCUUUUGGAAAGAUGUUGCAAUGUACAAUAGCGCCCUAGCUCAACUGAAAGAGCACUUUGACAUGAAAGAUCUUGGUGAGGUAAACAACUACCUAUCUCUGGAAAUAGAAAGAGAUCAAGAUGGUAACAUUCUAGUACACCAGUCACGGAAAAUUGCUGAUGUGUUAAGCAAACUAAAUCUGAUGGAUGCUAACCCUGUAGACACACCGCUGACAACAGGUUAUCAGGUAGAUGACACUGAAGAAGCAUUUUCUGACACUACACUGUACAGGAGUGUGCUAGGCAAGCUAAACUUCAUUGCCAGAUGUUCAAGACCAGACAUUGCUGUUAGCUGUAAUUUGCUAAGCAGACAAGUCAACAAUCCUAGUGUCAAGGAUUGGAAAGCUCUGAAACGCAUAGCGCGGUAUUUGAAAGGCACUAUGCAUUACAGACUGAGAUUUAACAAUCAGAAGUCUGGUGGUCUUGAGAUAUUUGCAGAUGCAAGUUUUGGAAGUGACGCUACAGACAGGAAAGGUACGUCUGGAGUUUGCUACAUGUACAAUCAGAGUCUGUUUGAUUGGUCAUGCAAGAAGCAAACAACAAUUAGCUUAAGUACUUGUGAAGCUGAACUGAAUGCACUGUCUUAUUCACUUAAGGAUUGUGAAUGGUUAGUACAAUUGUGCAAAGAUAUGAAAAUUCCUGUCAAAUGUCCAAUCCAGGUUUACCAGGACAACAAAGCAUGUUUGGCUUUGCUGAAGUCUGAAGGUUGUAAGCAAAGCACAAAGCACUUGCAAUUAAAGUUGCAGCAUGCUAGGGAAUGUAUUCAGAAGGGACUCGUAACGGUGUCCUAUAUGCCAGGUAAUGAAAUUCCUGCUGAUGUAUUGUCCAAGAUUGUAUCAAGGGAUCAACACUGUACCUAUGUGCAGAAGUUGGGUUUGUACUGAUAUUGUGCAAACACGCUGCCCAGUGAUGUUCACAGAAAGGGGGAGGAUGUUGGUUUCUGCUUUCCUUCACUGUGCAGCUUUGCUUGUCACGAGAAAGGUGUUUACAUUCCACAGUCUGUACUGUUGGAGUUUCUCACGGGAAAGGGAGACUGGAUGUGACGUACACUGGUUUCCUGUUUUUCACUGUGUGAUUCUCUCCGAGCUGUCGAGGAGAGAGGAUGCAUUCUCUGCUCCUGCAGAGGCAAGAUGUCUUUCUGUAAUAUACCAGCUUUGAACUGUAAAUAAAGCAAUAUAGAGUAUGUAGCACGUAUUGCUCAUCCUUCCGCUGGGCACGACAGACUCUGCUUAAAUCAACACGUACAACCCAUUACUGGUACACUGCUAAGUUUACAGUAGAAGAGAAGAAACAGGAAGUUGUGAGUGCUAUUUCGCUUCCUCAUCAUUCGCUACUCAAGAGAGGAAGGACCACAGCUUAGUGAUAGACCACAGCUUCUUCACAUGCAAAAGGUUCCAGGUUAAACUUGCAGCACUUGCAGCCAAAAGCUUAUCAGGUCAAUGGAGUGAGAUCUGCCUGAGGUCUUGGGGAGGAAUUGUCUCGUAUACAAGACUAGACUAGAAGACCAAUAGCCUGACUCAGUACAAGGCUAUAAGUUCUUAUAUACUCUGAGCAACCAUAACAGCAGCUAAGUUUGGACCAGAUGGAAACGGGUCAGGAGGUACUUCUGUCCCAAGCGAAAGCAAUAUAUGAAAAGGGAAAGACUGGGCACUUACACCCUCACUUCAAUUUCUCUAUACUGACAACAUUCCUGCAAAUCAAACCGGUUGGUAGGGGAAGGGCAGGACUCCCAGUUUUCUGUUGCUGCUGUGAUGGAGGUUACACCCGCAUGAGCCCCACUGAUUUCAUUGGACAUAACUGAAUGCAGGCCUAGAGGCAAUCAAAAGGACUCUCUGCUGAUCCUUUGGCUCAGCUGCGGUAGCACAAAGAGCAACAGACAACAGGUUUAUUGAAGUAUGAUCCUAUGCUUGGGAAACAAAGCUGCCUGGCAAUGCUCUGCAAGAGGGUAGUAAGGUAAAGGGACCCCUGACCGUUAGGUCCAGUCGUGGCUGACUCUGGGGUUGCGGCACUCAUCUCGCUUUAUUGGCCGAGGAAGCCGGCGUACAGCUUCCGGGUCAUGUGGCCAGCAUGACUAAGCCGCUUCUAGUGAACCAGAGCAGCGCACGGAAAUGCCGUUUACCUUCUUGCUGGAGCGGUACCUAUUUAUCUACUUGCACUUUGAUGUGUUUUCGAACUGCUAUGUUGGCAGGAGCUGGGACCGAGCAACGGGAGCUCACCCCAUCAUGGGGAUUCGAACCACCGAUCUUCUGAUCGGCAAGCCCUAGGCUCUGUGGUUUAGACCACAGCGCCACCCGCAUCCCUUAAGAGAGUGGUAGAGAGAGCCUUAUCCUCUACUUCAUGCCAAUGCCAGAGAAAUGUAUUGGCCCAACCAUGCCAUGUGGCAUAGUGACUAGAGUGUUGGGCUAUGACCUGAGAGACCAGGGUUCAAAUCCAUGAAGUUCACUGGGUGACCUUACCCUCAGCCCAACAACGGACCUCACAGUAAGAAGUUGCGUGGAUCAAAUGGGAAGGAUAACUAUGUAAGCCAUCUUGAGCUCUUUGGAAGAAAGGUGGGAUACAAAUGUAAUUAAUGGUAAUAGUAAUGCAACAGCUGUCCAUGAAUUGCGCAGUGGAACAGACCAAUGCCCACCACUGGGAUGAGAAGGCAAUUUCCCUUUGCACUAGAUCCUGCAUAUUCCGGAAGCAGAAAUGUUGAUUUAAACAGCCCAUAGGCUGCAGCUUUAAAUCACAUAUGCAGAAAAAUAACCAAUACGCUGUGAUUGAAAGAGUUGCAAAUGAACCCUUUCUGUUGGUUGCAAUAUGUGGGGAAGGAAGCUUCUUUUUGAUGUGCCACAGAUUCCUAAAAUACAAAUGAAGAGAUCAGUGAGAGGUUCAGUCCAUUUCCUUUUCAGUCUGCGGCUUGCUGGGUGUCCUUCCGAGUCCUACUUAGCCUGGUUUUUAAGGCAACGAUCAAAGGUGAUGUUGCAUCUAAUGUGGUGAAACGGUCGCUAGGGCAGAGGCCCCACACCCAUCAAGGAUUUACGACUUGUUUGUUCGUUGUGUGGUUUGAGUCUUCAAUAAACCAAAACAAGGAAAACCAUUUAAUUUCAGGGUACAAAUAUAUGUAUGUGAGAGUGCAACCCAGAUGAAAGCUGCCGUUCUCAGGACUGAAGACAAGAUACACGAAACCAGCCAAGAAUGACAGAAGCAAGGCAAUGUCUGCCAGAUUUCCAGUUCGGGUGGAUAAUGAAUGAGUGCAGCUAUAAAACGAAAUGACUUCUCUCCCUCUGCCAAUGUAUGGCUUUUUAGAGGGUUGCUACGAGGCUAUUAUGAGGGAGGAAAACAGGGCAAAUUAAAAUACGAGUAACUUUGUAAAAUCAAAGAUGUUCCAAGCCACUGUGAGUGAUGCUAUGUCAUUUGGUAGCCUUCUGUGUGGUUUAAAAAUAAAUAAACGGUGUGUCCUACUGAUGAAUGAUGCUAUUUGACAGGGAUAGGGAACCUCAGGCCCGGAUUCAACUAAUC